AGAGGCCCAUGUGGUGAGGUUCUGAAGCCUUCUGCCAACAACAUGUGAGGCAGCCAUCUUGACUAAGACCGCCCAGCCUCAGUCAAGGCUUCCAACAGCUUGCAACUGCAGGAGAGACCCUAAUGCAGAAGUACCCGAUUGGGCUGCUCUCAGAUUCCCCGACGUCAGAAAUUGUCAGAGACAGAUCGCCUAGGAUCAUGACCUGAGUGGAACAAAGGCAGAUGCUUAGCCGGCUGAGACACCCAGUUGCCCCUGAAGACCCCGGAAAGAGAAGGUCUUCAGAUCAGAGGGAAAGAAGGCAGCUGCUGUGAGACAGCUACCAUCUGGGCCGGAUGCAGGGUGAGGAACUCUGCCUAGACCAUGUCACCUCUUCCUAGCGGCACUGAAUCCUUAGCAGGGCAGACAUGAGAAGCCCCACUUAGGUCUGGAUCAAGAGUAGAGGGACGGGUGCUCUGCCUUCUGGCUGUAGCUCUGGGAGGUCCGCCAGCCCCAGAGAUGUAGUGACGGCCGCCUGGGGUCCUUGGUUGUCCUCACCCGGAGUAUCCACCCUCCCCCCAUGAGAUGCACCCCAAGGCUUUUCUGCACAAUUGAGGAUUGUACAAAGGUGAGGCUAAGGGCUGGAGGGCCCUGAUGAGGGAGGCACACCAUGGGGAUGGAGGGUGAGCCCACACGGGGCGGAUCCACACUGAGCCACGAGCCCCAAAACACUGACCCUGGAUAAUCAGCCCCAGAGAGGAGGAGGAUAAAGAGAGAAAUCCUGAUUUUAUUGGAGUUUAAACAAGAAGCAACUUAGAGAUUAUUGCAGUGACUAAGUUUAUCUGAAAGUUAUCAGAUUAAAUGUUAUCUGAGAUAAUAUGGGGCCAAAUGCAGCUUAUGAUAAAAAUAAGCUGAAUAAUGAGAAAAAGAAAACUCACAUGUUUGCAUGUCAAAGCAUGAGGAAUGUAGAAUGAUGUCCCUGGAAGACUGAGGCCGGCCUUCUCCACGGAUCCUCGAGGCUGAGCUCCCGCUCAGCCCCAGGACAACCUCUCUGGAUCUCCUGACGCCAAGGGAACUUCUGAGGGUCUAAGCUAAGGGUUCCCCUGUGAUUCUUUCCGCCAAGAUGUAGGGGAGGCUUUCUAGCCCCCAGGGGAAGGAGAGAGUGACAAUCCCACAGGGGGACGCCGCAGUAAAUCUGUCCCUCAGGAACUCACAUGUCAUGGCAGCCCCUGGGGAGAGACCUAACGCACCACUGUGUUUCAGAACCUUGCUGGACUCCACGUGAGCUCGAUCCUCAUAGAUCACGGAUGUCGCAGACAACGUAAAGGUUAUGAAGCAAAAUCAACAAACGCCACAGGGGAACCCACCACCUCACUUGAGGACUGCGCCCCGCAUCUACUCCUCACCGCAACCUGUGAGAUCCCAUUUCACAGAUGGAGAAACAGAGGCUCAGUGAGGUCUAGGUCACAGGAACCAGUGAGUGGCUGAGUCAGGAUUUACCCCCUGUUGGUCUGUGCCCUUCCUGCCCCCUUGGCUCUCUCACGAGGGGUCCGAGUUCCCUGCCCAGGUCCUCUGUGCCCUCAUCUUCUGGAGGAUUGUAGGUCCCCCUGCCCAGGUGUCUGCAUCCCGCUGCAUCACAGAGCUUGAACGGAGCUUCCCCCCCCCGCCAUGCUGAGCUGAGUCACCCCAGCCUCUGGGCACCCCCUAGAGUCAGGACAGCAGAGGAGCCCACACGGUCUCACUCGGCACCCCCUCAGCAGCCGCAUGGGGACACCAGGACUGCCCAGAGUUGAGAACACCCGGUUUAUCAGGUGUUUCCAGGCUGAACACACAAAGCGGCUGCUGGCCACAGAGAAAGGAAGGCUGGGCUUGGAUGAUCCAUUGGUGGGAGACCUGGCCAGG
This is an RNA transcript of Lutra lutra (Eurasian river otter), 1878 nucleotides long. RefSeq lists it as uncharacterized. The record is from RefSeq and is a predicted model, not a curated record. NCBI's taxonomy places the organism in Eukaryota, Metazoa, Chordata, Mammalia, Carnivora, Mustelidae. The transcript is spliced from 3 exons.